UACAGAGGUCCCAAGCGUUGUUCGGAUUCACUGGGCGUAAAGGGUGCGUAGGUGGUUAGGUAAGUCCGAUGUGAAAUCUCCAGGCUCAACCUGGAAAUGGCAUUGGAUACUAUCUAGCUUGAGGAGUGGAGGGGGGACUGGAAUUCUCGGUGUAGCAGUGAAAUGCGUAGAUAUCGAGAGGAACACCAGUGGCGAAGGCGAGUCCCUGGACACGUCCUGACACUGAGGCACGAAAGCUAGGGGAGCAAACAGG
RNAcentral lists this ribosomal RNA (253 nucleotides) under uncultured bacterium. RNAcentral describes it as "partial 16S ribosomal RNA". It matches the Rfam family "Bacterial small subunit ribosomal RNA", at positions 524 to 776 of the family's 1533-position model. The record is from RNAcentral.